Long non-coding RNA from Sapajus apella (tufted capuchin), 1746 nucleotides. RefSeq lists it as uncharacterized. The record is from RefSeq and is a predicted model, not a curated record. Lineage: Eukaryota; Metazoa; Chordata; Mammalia; Primates; Cebidae. The transcript has 4 exons.
AACUCCUGGGCUCAAACAAUCCUCCCAUCUCAGCCUCCCAAAGUGCGGGAUUACAGGCAUGAACUACAUUGCCUGGUGCUGUGAUUUUAAGUUGUAGAUUAGGAUAUCUUACUCACAGUUCCAAGAACCAGUACCCAGGAGAAUGUCUGGUACAUAGAUGCUUCACUUUGCUUGUACUUGUUGGCUGUCACAAGAUCAAUAACCAGCAUGAAAAUCCCCGUCUCACAACCCUUUGAAAAGUGAAGAGAUUAAUGUCUAGUGAGGAGAUGGUGGUGUGACAGAGGCCACAUAGCCACCGAGUGGGUGAGCUGGAACUCAAAUCUAGAAUAAUGAGGUCUUCAAAAAUUGUUAUUGGUGAAAUCUACAGGACUGAAGAAGGCAGAAGAGAGAUGGAGUGACAGGUGGAAUAACUUGGGGAGAAUUCUGUGCUUCCUGCAAUGAGAAGGCAUCCAACUGUCCAGGGACAAGGAGAAGGAUUUGGAGAGUAAAUCUAUUUUGAAGGAUGAGUUCAGUAUUCAUGGCGAUAAGACUUCUUUUAGGGACAUUUGGUGUCUGCAACAUUGAUGUGUUAAUCAGAGGCUAUAAUUACUAAGAACAGACAUGAUACUCUGGAAAAUAAGCAUAGUGUCCUGAAUGGAGCUAUUCACAGCUGGCAUACGGCAAAGACACAUCCUUGUUUACUGAAGUCAGAAACACCUGAGUAUUUCAUGUCUUUCAAAAGUUUCCCUGAUGAGUGUUUCUCAUUGGUGUGUCCCACAGGUCUGCCAUUUUGGGUUCUUUAUGCCUACCCUAAUCACAAUAUAAACCCAUUUAUCCAUGUUCUAUUAUAAAAUAUAUAUAAAAAACAUAAAAUGUUCAUUCUUAUGAUAAUUCCACGCAUUCUUCAUGAACCUUCUAAAACUAUUCCACAGUUUUUGCUUUUCUCUUCUGGAGAAAAAAUAAUCUCAUGCCUUUUAUCUUUCCCCAGAGGUCCCAUUUUCCCAUGCUUUAAUCAUUUUUAUUGUUCCCAUCUGUACCUACUUUAAUUUCUUCUAUCCCUUUGAAAAUGAGUAUCUAUGAGUUAGAUAUAGUACUCUUAAAACUGGAAUUGAUCUAAAAUAGCUAUUGAUCUGUUACUGGAAUUCCUAUCUAUAUUUGGAUAAGGCAAUAUAGAAAAAAUGAUGGUAAAAACAAGGGGGAAAAAUGGGAGAAACUGGUACCAUGUAAGAAUAUUUUCAGAUUCAGAGGUAGUUCUAAGUAGCAAAACUUACCCUAAAGAUAAAUAAGAAAAGGCAGAAAGAUUUGAGAAAAUGGCUAUUAUGGAAGUUAAAUAAAAAAUAUAAAGAACACAAAAAUUUUAUCUAUGAAACGAUUACAACUGCAAAUGCAUGCCUGCAUAUAAAUGGGCAAGUACAGGAAAAGAAAUAUUCAGAGGUCAGUCUUUCUUAGACCAGUGUAAGUUCCUGCAUUUAUUUUCAAUUUUAAUUUCCCCGAUUUUAGUAGUGCUAUGUGUGCAAUAACUAAAACUUAUAGUUUUAAAAGAACUAUCUGAGGAAUAAGAAAAGGAAAUCUAGGACACCUAAUAAUGUAAUAAUUAAGAAUAGUUAAAAAACAAAAGAAAGUCCUUUAGAUCUUUACUAUUCUAAUGCAUUUAGUAAAUCCUACAGAGAUUAUUGACUUUUGCUGUUCAUGCUUGCAGUGAAUAGGUAUUGAAAAAAUAGGUUGGGCUCAGUGGCUUUUGCCUGUAAUCCCAACACUUUGGGAGGU